GUCAACACUUGCUGGUUUCCUCU
This 23-nucleotide microRNA is filed under the name Callithrix jacchus (white-tufted-ear marmoset). Its description in RNAcentral is "cja-miR-505". Its record names the gene cja-miR-505. Lineage: Eukaryota; Metazoa; Chordata; Mammalia; Primates; Cebidae. RNAcentral also lists the same sequence under 2 other names. The record is from miRBase by way of RNAcentral.